This 534-nucleotide ribosomal RNA is filed under the name uncultured fungus. RNAcentral's name for it is "eukaryotic LSU rRNA". The stretch from base 160 to 313 matches the Rfam family "5.8S ribosomal RNA". Lineage: Eukaryota; Fungi. The record is from RNAcentral.
AAGUCGUAACAAGGUUUCCGUAGGUGAACCUGCGGAAGGAUCAUUAAAGAUUGGCCGAAAGGCCUCAUCUCUAUAUCCCUCACCUCUGUGAACUGUGGACCUCUGGGUCUAUUUUAACAAACAUCAGUGUAACGAACGUGUAUAAUAUUAAUAAAACAAAACUUUCAACAACGGAUCUCUUGGCUCUCGCAUCGAUGAAGAACGCAGCGAAAUGCGAUAAGUAAUGUGAAUUGCAGAAUUCAGUGAAUCAUCGAAUCUUUGAACGCACCUUGCGCCUUUUGGUAUUCCGAAAGGCAUGCCUGUUUGAGUGUCAUGAAAUCUCAAUCCCCCCGGGUUUAUGAUCUGGGUUGGGACUUGGACUUGGGUGCUGCCGGUUACAUGGCUCGCCUCAAAUGACUUAGUGGAUCUCUCUGCAUCCGUGACAGACGUAAUAAGUUUCGUCUUGUCCCUUGCUGUCUGAGUCUGCUCCUAACCUGCCAUUGUGCACUUUUAGACUCUGACCUCAAAUCAGGUAGGACUACCCGCUGAACUUAA